This is a long non-coding RNA of Lynx canadensis (Canada lynx), 334 nucleotides long. RefSeq lists it as uncharacterized. NCBI's taxonomy places the organism in Eukaryota, Metazoa, Chordata, Mammalia, Carnivora, Felidae. The transcript has 3 exons. The record is from RefSeq and is a predicted model, not a curated record.
GCCAGAUUUCUGUCAGACAAGAGGCAAUCUAUGGAGACCAUACCUCGGAAGCACAGAGGCUUGCAAACACUCAGGGCGCAUACCUCAGGACCUUAGAGACAGAGUCACUCAUGUGAGUUUCACAGUUUGAAGUCAUACGAGAGCAGAACUUCCAACAAGGUAUUGCUGUAAACCUAAACCUCACGGAAGGCUAUUAUAGCAUCGGAACAGAUGGUGAAGAUUUCCAUAAAACAGAAAGGGAAACAGACUUGUCUGAAGUGAGGUCACUAUUCUCUUUCAUGAGGACUCUACUCUCAUGACCUAAUCACCUCCCAAAGGCCCUGCCUCCCAAUUC